Long non-coding RNA from Aphis gossypii (cotton aphid), 686 nucleotides. RefSeq lists it as uncharacterized. The transcript has 3 exons. Lineage: Eukaryota; Metazoa; Arthropoda; Insecta; Hemiptera; Aphididae. The record is from RefSeq and is a predicted model, not a curated record.
ACGACUCAUCGAUCAAAAUUUUUAAGGGUUAGCGGAAAAUUUUCCAAUUCCUAAUAUACCACACCAAAAAUAUGGAUUGGUGGUGACUCCUGGCCUAUCAUAUCGGUACUCGUCGUGCAGCAUACGGUCGACUUGAGCAUACCAAAGACAGUACACUAGAUCCGCCGCCGCCGCCGAAGGACGUUGCUCUUGCGAUGGUCAUCGAGCGCGUACCGCCCGGGAUGUCAAGUCUGCUGCAGCGCCCGAGUCGGACUCCCUCGACCGGCCCCGACCGAUUCCGACCGACCGCCCGUGGGGUACCGCGCACUAUAGCCUGCCGCCGGUGUCUAGUACGGCAAAGUAUUAUGAUCAUAAUAUCAUAUUAUCAUCAUCAAUAUUCAUCGUCGUUGUAUUAAUAACACACAGAUUUACUACAUAAGACGUAUUUUAACUGAACGGUGAACACAGAAUGAUAAAAAUAAAUAAAUACCGAUUAACUGAGAGCAAACAAAAUACAACAAUACAGCUGUAGUAAGUCUGUGAUUACAACUAUUCCGCUCAAAAGACGAGUUCUUCUGAUGGCCGUCGUUGUACACAAAAAUAAGCAACGCCAUAAUAUUAUACGCAAAGACAAAACAACGCCGCGGCGUGUCGCUAUUACGUCUUUAGGCGAAGUUCACAAUUAUUAUUUUUUUUUUUUCAAACGU